UUAUGUCCCAGAUAUAUAGUCAAGAAAUUUAUUCAGAAUAUGCUGGUUUGAUAUAACCUCUUCUAAUGCUGCUUAACUUUUCAUAGGGGCAUAAAAUGCUAUUACAAAACUAUUGAUCUGCAAAUUUAUCAGAUCCAACCAUUUAAUGAAGAAACGGUCACCCACCAACUAAUAUGUCUAUUCCCACAAAAUUGUUUCAAGUAAUUAACAUAACUAGUGAAUUAUGACUUCCCCUCCACUGUGUAUCACCUCAUAAAUAAUGCUAUCGUCUUGACUGUUUUGCCUUCAUUAUGCAUAAUUGAUAAGAACUUAAUGUGAUCCUUUGUUUUUAACUCACAUAACUGGACCAGCUAUGUGGGGCUUUGACAAUCGUCUGUAAAUAUUUCCAUCACAAUUUUAGGGAUAUUGUCGAUAUUCCUGAUCAGGAAUCUUUGAUAGACUGAAGAGGGUAGUACAAAACCCUUGAUCAUGACAGCUAGUUCUGAAAAGUGUGCAGUACUUUGGUUUCCUGUAUGACAAUUUGGCGGUUUCAUUUUGUCCCUUAGAAUAACUAUGUGUCACUUAAUUUGAAGGAUAAUCUCCAAUAUAAUACUGUAUUUUUUUCCAACCAAUGGAAGUACCAGGCAGAAAAAAGAUGGUUAACCUGCAUGGGUGUGCUAUACUGCACUUUUUUUUGUCUGAGCUAUUUUUGUAUGUUGAUUUUGUGAAUAAAGUCAAAUGUAUAUAUA
Long non-coding RNA from Haliotis rubra (blacklip abalone), 728 nucleotides. RefSeq lists it as uncharacterized. The transcript has 2 exons. NCBI's taxonomy places the organism in Eukaryota, Metazoa, Mollusca, Gastropoda, Lepetellida, Haliotidae. The record is from RefSeq and is a predicted model, not a curated record.